This is a long non-coding RNA of Notolabrus celidotus (New Zealand spotty), 729 nucleotides long. RefSeq lists it as uncharacterized. The transcript is spliced from 4 exons. The record is from RefSeq and is a predicted model, not a curated record. Lineage: Eukaryota; Metazoa; Chordata; Actinopteri; Labriformes; Labridae.
GGGAAACAACAGGCUGCAGUUCAAGGCUGAUCAUCACAUCCUCCAUUCAAGCUAAAGCACAAUGGGAGAAUUGGAGUCUUGAGAGGCUGAUGUCUGUCGCGGGAAUAACCUGGACUACAGCAGGAUACAUCCUGGGAAAUUCCCUCACUAUCACAGGUCUGCAAAGAAGAAAAGAAAAACAGUAUGAAGGAGCCUCUCAUCACUCUCUUACUGUCUCAUCAUCGUGUUGACUGGCUGGCAUGCCCGAGGACAGGAGACAGCCAGACAUAGGCAAAGACCUGUAGGUUGACUUCUCAGCGGUAUGGCAGGUCUGAGUGUAUCUUCAAGGGGUCACGACCCUCCUAGACUGUGAGCUGGACAAACAGGACCGAGGAGCUGCAGCAGGACAUGGAAUGUCCCCAUUGUAUUUGUUUUGUUUCACUGUUUCUGUUGAAAAAGUGGAAAAAACCUCCCUCUGAACUUGCUGGAACAAAAGAAAACAUUUCCUUGGCAGCUAAAGAGGAAGAGUUUGCAUACUAAGAAUGAUAAAAGCUAAGGCAGUGCUCUGUGAUGUAACUAAAGGUACAUGGUUCUUUCCUGCCUUUUUUAUAACGCUCUGAAAAUGUGAUUUAUGUUAGGAGCAGCACUUUUUAUUUUUGAACAUAUUUUUGGUGCAGCCACCCGUCUCUAUAUCUUUGUGUCCCACAUUAUAUAUGUUUGCUAUGUGUCUGGUACCAUGUGGAACCAAUU